AACUUUCAGCAAUGGAUCUCUUGGCUCUCGCAUCGAUGAAAAACGCAGCGAAAUGCGAUAAGUAAUGUGAAUUGCAGAAUUCAGUGAAUCAUCGAAUCUUUGAACGCACCUUGCACCCUUUGGCAUUCCGAAGGGUAUGCUCGUUUGAGUGUCAUUGUACUCUCACACUCCCGAUGCUUUUGGAUUGGGAGUGGUGGACUUGGGUGUUGCUGCUUUACUGUGGCUCACCUCAAAUGGAGUAGUGCAACUCUUGGUUGGACAUAGUACGGCGUGAUAAGUGUCUUCGCCGGCGCCUCAUUAGAGGGUGGCCGAUCGGGAGCUCUGUGCUUCAAACCGUCUUCGGACAACAUCUGACAACUUGACCUCAAAUCGAGUAGGACUACCCGCUGAACUUAAGCAUAUCAAUAAGCGGAGGCU
RNAcentral lists this unclassified non-coding RNA (417 nucleotides) under uncultured Sebacina. RNAcentral describes it as "sequence contains ITS2". The stretch from base 1 to 154 matches the Rfam family "5.8S ribosomal RNA". The record is from RNAcentral. Lineage: Eukaryota; Fungi; Basidiomycota; Agaricomycetes; Sebacinales; Sebacinaceae.